AUGAGAGGGGACCUAGUCGCGGGGUGGGGGGACAAAAUGUCACAAGAAAGAAGAAGAAAGAAGCACCAUCACAGAGAACAUUUGGACACCACUACAGCAUCUGCACAAGGCCUGUUCCAACCAAGAGCCAAAACUGGAUUAAAUUUACUUUUGGACCUUUGACUUGUUUUUUGGUCGUGCCGGAUUUAUCGAGGAAACAGUUUUCGCAUAACCAGCAGGAUCAGAUGACACAGGCAGACUCCUCACUGGCCGCAGCAUUGUGUAACACCAGUCAGUGCUGUUGUUUAUCGUCCUGGACUGUCGGGGAGUCGUCCUGUCCUGUACUGGAUCUGCACAAACAGCCAAGAUAAAAAAAAAAUGCGUGUGCUUUGAUAAAUAUUAAGACAAGAACGAUAAAUUUGCACCAAAUCCGAAUAGACUAAAAGAUGUAAAAAUGAAACUACAGCAGGGUGUGUCUCUCUCUCACCGGCCCCAUCUGUGAAUAAGCGUCCCGGGCAAAGUGUUUCAUGGUCAGAGGAGGUGUAGAGGGAUAAGUGUGCAAGAUGGACAGUGAGGGUGUUGGGCUGAGAAGCGCUGAGAGUGUAAAGCAGAUGUUUGAACCUGACAGGGAGAGUAAAAUGAAGAAUAAGUGAAAGUGGUGGUGAGAGAGUAGGCUGAUCCACAGAUGAGAGACGCCCGAAUGUUUAGUCAAACCCACAAAAACUUCUGCUGUUAUUUCACAUACUUAUACUUACAUAGCUCCGGAAAUCAGUAAAAAUGCAAAAGAAGGCUGCACAGAAACUCAACUGUUAUUCCAGACAUGCAAAGAUUUGUUGACGUUUCCUAUCAUUCUAUAAAAAUGGAACUGAGAGGUGGAAAGUGGCACCCAUUACUAUUGUAUAGAAUUAAAAAAAAUAAUAAUUUAAAGCACAAAGAGCCACCCACUUGCAGAAGCAUGUCCAUGAGACAGGAAAUUUUAUUCUCUACUCUGCGCCACGCCCCGGAAGAGCUCAAACCUCAGCCAAGAUGCACCACAUCGCCACCCUCCGUCACUCCUUUUCCUCCCCAUUCCUUUUGUUUACAGGAAGCAGCUGAAGGGAUAGCACCUUAAAUCAAGUCUCACUCAUCUUAUCUAUGUUUUCUUAGGUUCACCGUGUCCACGGCAACAUUGUUCCUCCAGUCGCGGACGAUGGCAUGAGAGCUCUUAGCCAGACUAAAGCAACAAAACCAUAAAUUGUAAACAUUACAGAACAGCCUGUUGCCUGUAAACAAAUUGCCUUGUGACUGUUGAUCUUCAAUAUUUUGGCUCAGAUAAACAAACUGGACUUGCAUGAAAAUUCCCACCGACUGCAGGAAGCCUCAGCCCUGCCAUGUAAAAGAUAAAACCUGUUGCUAGUGGCAACAGCACAAAGAUACAGUAGAUCAUGAUGACACUGCUGUCACUGUGGACAUGAUAAAUAUCACCCAAGUCUCUUCAAAGCAAUUAAGACAAAGCAUCUUUGGAUUUUCUGAUGCUGUCGGGUAAAAAACAUUGCAGCUAAAAUCAUUAUUGUUUUAAUGUAUUACCCCUCAGUGUGACUGCAGGAGGACAUUUUUUUUAAAAAGACAAGUUUUAACUUGGUGAAAACAUUUAAUGAUAAACUCAAAAAUGCCUGAAUAUUCUUCUUAGUUGACAUUUUGAAGUUGCAACUUUUUCACCUGACCGCAGCAGUCUCUUCUAUUAUUUUUUUCGCUGCCAUUAUUAUUCUUAAUUUUAAGUCUUUAUUGUAAGAUCUUUAAGUGACACAGGCCUCAUGCAGAAACAGUUUCCUUUGGUGGUGCAAACGUUUGACCAGGUUUUCCUUUUACUAUACACAAAUGUCUAUUGCUGUACAUAUGUGUUGCUAUUCAAAUGGGCUCAUUCUGUUAAGUAUACACUGUAAACACGAGGCACUGAAACAUUGAGCAGACCUCUGUGCCUGGUACUUGUGACCCACAUUAUGCCAGAUCACGCAAAUACACUUUUUUUUUUUUUUUAAAAGAACUGUGAUGCCAGUUUGUCUCCGGUAACAGAAAGGGGAACGUGACAACAAGUGACUUUCUUGACCCCCAAACCUGAACAGAAACAGCCCCCUUCUCUAUAGUCCCAGAAAAAAACAUAACUUCAUCAAAUGACUUGUGAAAAUGUUAAUCUGUGUGUGUGCUGAUUGUAUUUUAAACAUGUAUGAUGUGACAGUAAAGGGGAAAGAGGUCAGACUUUAUAUAUACACAUACAUAUAUUAGGGGGGAAAUAAAAGCUUGGCCUGGUGUACUAAUCUAGCACUAACGUCAGCGUAGUUACUGUAGCCAGGCAGCAGUUCAAGCUGUGGAAGUAGCUGUGUCUCAGCAGCACGACAGAGCCUGGACCCUGUAUCCUGCACCAACGUGAUGCCCAGCCUGCUUUAAUGCACAGCCAGGGCCCCCCUGCUGAUUCAGGAUCUCUCUCCAAUGAGACUACAAACACACAACAACCUUUGACUACUUGAAUCAACUCUGACCAGAAUGGCAUCAAGAAGAAAAACAUUUUUUUUUUUUUUAAAAGGUCAGAAACAUCAUGAAUGAGGAGAUGCAGAUCUGCCUGGAAGAAGUUUCCCUCCAACUGAACCUAAUCAAUGUCAUGUUGUUCAUUAGAAAGUGGAAAGAAGCUGUGUAGUAAGCAGUACUGAUGAAAAGCAGUUUGAGAUUUAUUUCUGUGUUGUUGUGUGUGUUUGUCAUUAAAAAUGCUUAAAUGAUUAAACUGGUCUUAGCACGGUCAGGCCAACCUGAAAAAAAACAGUGUUUCUGUUCCCUCGCUAAUCUUUCUGUGUUGUGAGUCUAUUGUGAAAACUUUUCUUUCUUUGCAGGCAUGCUCUGUGUGAUGUUUUGUGUUUUGUUUCACUGUAUGUGUCACUAAAAGGCAGACAGGACCUUGGACAGAAAGGUACUGGAAUAAAAACGCUUAAUUGUGUGUCUA
Perca fluviatilis (European perch) is the source of this 2950-nucleotide long non-coding RNA. RefSeq lists it as uncharacterized. NCBI's taxonomy places the organism in Eukaryota, Metazoa, Chordata, Actinopteri, Perciformes, Percidae. The record is from RefSeq and is a predicted model, not a curated record. The transcript has 2 exons.